UGAAAACACUAGAGAAAACGAAUCUAGGCUAGGGAUAUUAGCAAUUGAUACAGAUCAGAAUCAACUAUCUAAAAACAAUUAACAAAGCAAUAAAACUCACAUCAGAAGAUUUAAAGUUAAAUCUUGUUUUCCUACAUACCUUAAAUAAAACUCACAACACCAGCAACUCUCAGAAUCAUCACCAUUCUUUGGCAGUAUAGAUAUCCUCUACCAAUCAAUCCAAAACUCAAAUGUUGCUACAUCCCAGGAAUCUCUAUGAAGCAUGGUGCACAAAGCUGUUCUUAAAUGUAGAUGACACUGAACCAUCAAGUAAGAUUUGUUUGUGAUUCUUUUUCCAGGUUUACUACUUUU
Molecule: long non-coding RNA, 351 nt
Filed under: Trifolium pratense (red clover)
Lineage: Eukaryota; Viridiplantae; Streptophyta; Magnoliopsida; Fabales; Fabaceae
Description: long non-coding RNA (TPRA_LNC013746)
Source: RNAcentral